AGUGAACGCUGGCGGUAGGCCUAACACAUGCAAGUCGAACGGCAGCACAGUAAGAGCUUGCUCUUACGGGUGGCGAGUGGCGGACGGGUGAGGAAUACAUCGGAAUCUACUUUUUCGUGGGGGUUAACGUAGGGAAACUUACGCUAAUACCGCAUACGACCUACGGGUGAAAGCAGGGGAUCUUCGGACCUUGCGCGAUUGAAUGAGCCGAUGUCGGUUUAGCUAGUUGGCGGGGUAAAGGCCCACCAAGGCGACGAUCCGAAGCUGGUCUGAGAGGAUGAUCCGCCACACUGGAACUGAGACACGUUCCAGACUCCUACGGGAGGCAGCAGUGGGGAAUAUUGGACAAUGGGCGCAAGCCGGAUCCAGCCAUACCGCGUGGGUGAAGAAGGCCUUCGGGUUGUAAAGCCCUUUUGUUGGGAAAGAAAAGCAGCAGGUUAAUACCCCGCUGUUCUGACGGUACCCAAAGAAUAAGCACCGGCUAACUUCGUG
This 492-nucleotide ribosomal RNA is filed under the name uncultured bacterium. Its description in RNAcentral is "partial 16S ribosomal RNA". It matches the Rfam family "Bacterial small subunit ribosomal RNA", at positions 29 to 507 of the family's 1533-position model. The record is from RNAcentral.